CCUACGGGUGGCAGCAGUCGAGAAUCAUUCACAAUGGGGGAAACCCUGAUGGUGCGACGCCGCGUGGGGGAAUGAAGGUCUUCGGAUUGUAAACCCCUGUCAUGUGGGAGCAAAUUAAAAAGAUAGUACCACAAGAGGAAGAGACGGCUAACUCUGUGCCAGCAGCCGCGGUAAUACAGAGGUCUCACGCGUUGUUCGGAAUCACUGGGCGUAAGGCGUUCGUAGGCUGUUUCGUAAGUCGUGUGUGAAAGGCGCGGGCUCAACCCGCGGACGGCACAUGAUACUGCGAGACUAGAGUAAUGGAGGGGGAACCGGAAUUCUCGGUGUAGCAGUGAAAUGCGUAGAUAUCGAGAGGAACACUCGUGGCGAAGGCGGGUUCCUGGACAUUAACUGACGCUGAGGCACGAAGGCCAGGGGAGCGAAAGGGAUUAGAUACCCCUGUAGUC
RNAcentral lists this ribosomal RNA (446 nucleotides) under uncultured bacterium. RNAcentral describes it as "partial 16S ribosomal RNA". It matches the Rfam family "Bacterial small subunit ribosomal RNA", at positions 338 to 795 of the family's 1533-position model. The record is from RNAcentral.